This 484-nucleotide ribosomal RNA is filed under the name uncultured bacterium. Its description in RNAcentral is "partial 16S ribosomal RNA". It matches the Rfam family "Bacterial small subunit ribosomal RNA", at positions 30 to 507 of the family's 1533-position model. The record is from RNAcentral.
AUUGAACGCUGGCGGCAGGCCUAACACAUGCAAGUCGAGCGGAUGAAGGGAGCUUGCUCCUGGAUUCAGCGGCGGACGGGUGAGUAAUGCCUAGGAAUCUGCCUGGUAGUGGGGGAUAACGUCCGGAAACGGGCGCUAAUACCGCAUACGUCCUGAGGGAGAAAGUGGGGGAUCUUCGGACCUCACGCUAUCAGAUGAGCCUAGGUCGGAUUAGCUAGUUGUUGGGGUAAAGGCCUACCAAGGCGACGAUCCGUAACUGGUCUGAGAGGAUGAUCAGUCACACUGGAACUGAGGCACGGUCCAGACUCCUACGGGAGGCAGCAGUGGGGAAUAUUGGACAAUGGGCGAAAGCCUGAUCCAGCCAUGCCGCGUGUGUGAAGAAGGUCUUCGGAUUGUAAAGCACUUUAAGUUGGGAGGAAGGGCAGUAAGUUAAUACCUUGCUGUUUUGACGUUACCAACAGAAUAAGCACCGGCUAACUUCGUG